GACGAAACGCUGGCGGCGUGGAUUAGGCAUGCAAGUCGAACGGUAUCAUCCUUUCGGGGGUGAGAGAGUGGCGAACUGGUGAGUAACACGUAGGUUAUCUACCCUCAAGACGGGGACAACCCAGGGAAACUUGGGCUAAUACCGGAUGUGAGCAACUUUUUAGUUGUUUGAAAGGUGGCGUAAGCUGUCGCUUGGGGAUGAGCCUGCGUCCUAUUAGUUAGUUGGUGAGGUAACGGCUCACCUAGGCAAUGAUAGGUAGGCGGCCUUAACGGGUGGUCGCCCACACUGGGAUUGAGAUACGGCCCAGACUCCUACGGGAGGCAGCAGUCGAGAAUAGUCUACAAUGGUCGGAAGACUGAUAGUGCGACGCCGCGUGAACGAUGAAUCCCUUCGGGGUGUAAAGUUCUUUUAUAUGUGAGCAGUGCUUCUUAUAUUAACAGUAUGGGGAGAGAGAUAUUAGCAUAUGAAUAAGCAACGGCUAACUCCGUGCCAGCAGCCGCGGUAAU
RNAcentral lists this ribosomal RNA (506 nucleotides) under uncultured bacterium. Its description in RNAcentral is "bacterial SSU rRNA". It matches the Rfam family "Bacterial small subunit ribosomal RNA", at positions 32 to 524 of the family's 1533-position model. The record is from RNAcentral.